This is a long non-coding RNA of Capra hircus (goat), 3552 nucleotides long. RefSeq lists it as uncharacterized. The transcript has 3 exons. The record is from RefSeq and is a predicted model, not a curated record. NCBI's taxonomy places the organism in Eukaryota, Metazoa, Chordata, Mammalia, Artiodactyla, Bovidae.
GCUUCCGUGCUUGGUAAUGUAUUUCAUUUAACUCCAUCUGUGUGUGCAUAUAUGUCUGAGACCCUGUGUUAGAAGCUGGGCAUGAGAGGUCUAAAAAUGAUGACACUCAAGCCUAGUAAGCCUGAUGGAAAUAAGUUUUGAAUGGAGGAGCGAAGGUCAUGCUGAAGGAACGCAGGGAAGGACUGAUGAGAGGGAAUGAGGGUUUUUGCAGAAGAAGCAUUUUUUCAAGGAAAGUUUGGAGAAGAGGGCAUCCCCACGUAAAGGGAGUGAGAAGUGAAGAAUGGCCUAGUGGGGCAUGACUGUAAGGAGAGAAUGAUGGGAGGUAAGACUGAAAAGCUGAUCAGAAGUGAAACAUUUUGAAGAACUUGUCAUCAUUUUAAAGGCGGUAGGAACUGCUAGUUUGUGAAUGGAGUUAGUAUGAACAGGCUUAGAAUAACUGACUGUGGGCGCGGGGCUGAUAAGAGUGGAGGCGUGGGAAUUGUGAAGCCAGAGAUUGAGAACUGAGGUCCUCUGCGCAUAUUGAGAAUGGAAAAUUGGGGAUUUAGAUUACACCACAUAAGUGAAGUUGGCAAGAUUAGCAUUUGGGGCUCAUUGGUCAGCACACAAGAGGUUGUUUGGGGAGAGUACCUUGGGUGUAUUUUACAGAUUGUACAUCACAGCUCAUGACGGAACACACUUCAGGUAUGGCGUCAGCUUGCCAUUUAGUGUUCCAGGAGUGGAAGGGAAGGAAAGAUUGCCACCUACUUGCCUGCCAGCCUCUGCGCAGUCUGUUCCCUGAUGGAGUCUGUGUCACGCGCCUGCGUGGCCUGCGCCCCAUUUUCAUUUGUGUCCUUUUGUAGACAGAGGGAAAAGAGAGGGGUUCCUGUUGGAUGUAACGUAAAUAAGACUUGGAGUUGCCUGAACAGGUAGGGGCAUAGUUCUGAUUGCUGAGGAUCGAGUGAGUGGUAAAGCAGCAGUAAAAAGUACUUUCGAAAAGUUGGCAGGAAAUACAAAGAAUUAUGACAGUGUCUUGAGAGACAAAGGGUAAACUUAGGGGUCAGAACAAGUUGAAAGGGAGAAUUCAGAGACACCUGUGCCUUGAUGAGACACAGUCCUGGAGAGGGUGGGAUCCACUGAGUCUUAGGGGUCCAAACUAGCCUGACCUCCAGAUGGAGAGUUUGGUAAUCUUGGACAAAUCUCAGCUUUGCCAAGCCCGGGGCUGCUUCGUCUGUCGCAGGAUGGGAGAUAAGUCUUUCACAGGGCUGCGGAAAUGAUAGACUGUGUGUACUUCUGUCAGGAUAAUCCACGUAAAGCAAAUAUAAUUGUUGACUUUAGCCGCGGAAAGGAAUAGAAAUGGUUUAAGAUAAUGGGCAAAUAUUGAAGCGAGAGGGAGGAAUUUUGUGUGGCCUCCCAUUUGAGAACUUAAAUACAUGCUGAUCCCCAAGUCAUCCUGUUCAUCCCCAGUAGUCUCAAUCUUCAUGUGGUUGGUAAGAAUAAUUCUCACUUGAGAGAAAUGCCUCAACAUCAGUAUUGACUGAGGAUUUUUGUUUGUUUUUACUUUCUGAGAAGUAGGACUGCUAAACAUUGUUCUGAUUCUUUUGCUGUUUUUGAGUAUCAUUCCUGCCAUUCAGUUCAUUCCAACUGAACCUCCUCCGUGACACAUACUUCACAUCUUUGUGCGCGUUACUCCCGCCACUUGUUCAUUUGAAAUCUUCGUGGCUGAAGGCCCGAUCCGAUCGUUCCUCCUCUGAUAAAGCUUCUCUGCAAGGACUUACUCUUUCUUGUCCCUGUUGCAUGUUCCCUUGCUGUGUUCAUUUGUUCACGCACUCACGGUUCUGUCCUGUGAGGCAGCAGUGUGCUUUAUGUCUCUCCUGUUCUGCGAGGCCAUCCUGUGUGCUUAUCUUCACUGGUGCUUCACCCGGAAUCCCUUGGAUGGAAGAGCCUGUUCACAAUGAUUGGAAAAAGGAGUCAGAGAGAGAAGGUGGUUCUGAUGUGGUCCCUCCGUUCAUUAUCAGCUGCCUUGAAGAACGAAGUACCAAAUCCUCACCGGGAGCAGUAACGAAUGGGAAGCAGGAUGCAGCAAAGAAUGAGGUGAUCACACUGAGGCACAGGGAUGCUGAGCAAGUUGCUCAGAGCUGCACAACCAUGUGGCGGGGCCAGGAUCUGAAUCUGGAUAGUCUGCCUCCCGUUUUCACUCUGUGACCACUGUGCGCCACUGACUGCCUAAGAAGCCUUAUGUGAAUAAAGGGUUUCGUGCUCAGAUAAAUUUGGGGGCUGCUAGUUAAAGGUGGGCACGCCCGUCAUUUUUCGGGGCUUCUCAGACUCCGGUAUGCAUUUCCAGAAACCUGCCUCAGCCAUGGCCCUGUCUCCCUGCCUCUUCUCUUUGCACCCAGCCCUCCCACUUUUCCUGGUCUUGUUUCUCUUUUUCAGAAUCGCCUCUCCUUGUCGUGGCACGCUCUUCUCUCCCUCACCAGGCUCUCCCUCUGCUGGAUCACUCUGGGCAGCACACACGUGUGCUCUAGUAAUUGCCUGUGAAAGCUCUCCUCUGCCCCCUCCACUUCGCCACCCUGUCUCUGCUUCUCGUCACAUCUGCACUUCUGGAAAGACUGGCCUGGGCGCGGGGUCUUCUCUUCAGCUCCCAUGCAGUCUUCCAUCGGUUCCUGCUAGCUUCUGGCCUGACACUGCGCUCCACAUGGCCUGGACCCCACCGAUAGUUCCCUGACUAGUUUCCCUGCUGCUCCUCCCUCUGUGGGCAGAUUUAGCCACUGUCCAAAAUAGCAGGAGCCAAAAUAGCCUGCCUUGUUGAGUGCAAGCCAAUUCAUGUCCGUUUAUUUAAAGCCCUUGAGUGCUUUCCAGUAUCCCUUCAAAUAAAAGUGACUCUUCUGUAAGCGACGGGUCUGCGGGGUCGGGUCCCUGCCUGGCUCUGGCCCCAUCCACCUCCCGCCGUGCCAGCAGGGCGCUGGUGCCCGUGCGGACUUCUGCCUGGAUCUGUCUAAUUGAGCCACUGCCCCUUCCUGUCCUUCAGUCCUGGCUUCAGCACACGGUCAGUGUCUUGUCCGACCUCCCAGCCAGGCAGCAUGGCAGCUGCCCCACGCCACUGCUGCUGCCCCUCGCGCGGUCCCUUUGUGAUGGGACUAGGCAAGGGUCCUGGGAGAACCCUCCAGGGGGGUGGGGCCCUGCCCAGGACCGACGGGAUGUUGCGACUGACCCCAUUUAUUGCCCACAGAUUGGAGCCUGGUUACCUGGACUCUGUUCUAAGUCCUUUUACUGUGGGCAGUGAACCCAGUUCACACCUGGUCCAUUAUUCUACCAGCCAGGUAAACAGGGAGCGCCUCUUCCACUGUUUCUGUCUUCGCCUCUGUCUCUUUCAUAUACACACAUUCUUAAAAUUGUAUUCUAACAUGGGGCACUUACCAGGCUUUUUAAAAGUAAGCCAACUCAUUUUUUUUCAGUGUAGGAGUUAAAAUUUACAGUUUUUUCUUUAGAGUAAAACACACAUUGUAAAACAAUUUAAACAUUUUUAGAAGUAGUUUGAGGGCAGAAUCCUAGGGGGUUUUUUGUUUUUUGUUUUUU